UACAGAGGUCUCAAGCGUUGUUCGGAUUCAUUGGGCGUAAAGGGCGCGUAGGCGGCGGGGUAAGUCGGGUGUGAAAUCUCAGAGCUCAACUCUGAAACUGCACUCGAUACUGCUUUGCUAGAGGACUGGAGAGGAGAUUGGAAUUCACGGUGUAGCAGUGAAAUGCGUAGAUAUCGUGAGGAAGACCAGUGGCGAAGGCGGAUCUCUGGACAGUUCCUGACGCUGAGGCACGAAGGUCAGGGGAGCAAACGGG
This 253-nucleotide ribosomal RNA is filed under the name uncultured bacterium. RNAcentral's name for it is "partial 16S ribosomal RNA". It matches the Rfam family "Bacterial small subunit ribosomal RNA", at positions 524 to 776 of the family's 1533-position model. The record is from RNAcentral.